GACGAACGCUGGCGGCGUGCUUAACACAUGCAAGUCGAACGGAAAGGCCCAGCUUGCUGGGUACUCGAGUGGCGAACGGGUGAGUAACACGUGGGUGAUUUGCUCUUGACUCUGGGAUAAGCCUGGGAAACUGGGUCUAAUACCGGAUAUGACCUUACAUCGCAUGGUGUUUGGUGGGAAGCUUUUGCGGUUCAGGAUGGGCACGCGGCCUAUCCGCUUGUUGGUGGGGUAAUGGUCUACCAAGGCGACGCCGGAUAUCCGACCUGAGAGGGUGAUCAGCCACACGGGGACUAAGACACGGCGCAGACUCCAACGGGAGGCAGUGGUGGGGAGUAUUGCACAAUGGGGGCGAGCCUGAUGCAGCGGCGCCGCGAGUGGGAUGAAGUCCUUCGGGUUGUAAACCUCUUUCACCAGGGACGAUGCGUGAUUGACGUUACCUGGAGAAGAAGCACCGGCCAACUACGUG
Molecule: ribosomal RNA, 466 nt
Filed under: uncultured bacterium
Lineage: Bacteria
Description: partial 16S ribosomal RNA
Rfam family: Bacterial small subunit ribosomal RNA
Source: RNAcentral